RNAcentral lists this long non-coding RNA (227 nucleotides) under Elaeis guineensis (African oil palm). Its description in RNAcentral is "long non-coding RNA (EGUI_LNC039335)". Lineage: Eukaryota; Viridiplantae; Streptophyta; Magnoliopsida; Arecales; Arecaceae. The record is from RNAcentral.
CCCUUGUCGUGGCCCUUCCAACUAAACCUUCUUUAGGCACAAUCAGUAGCUCUCCUUUGAUCAAGGUAGGGGUUGGCACCCAGCUUGCUAGAGUAAAGUCUACAUGAUGUAGAGCCACUUUUGAAUGCAUUAGAGGUUCAACUUAUUGAUGCUGAAGUUUGGGUUGAGGCAAUCAAAUCACUCACUGAGCCAAGGUUAGAUGUGCUCGAUGUCUAGAGUUCUCCUCC